GAUGAACGCUGGCGGCGUGCCUAAUACAUGCAAGUCGAGCGAACAGACGAGGAGCUUGCUCCUCUGACGUUAGCGGCGGACGGGUGAGUAACACGUGGUUAACCUAACUAUAAGAAUGGGAUAACUUCGGGAAAUCGGAGCUAAUACCGGAUAAUAUAUUGAACCGCAUGGUUCAAUAGUGGAAGACGGUUUUGCUGUCACUUAUAGAUGGAUACGCACCGCAUUAGAUAGUUGGUAAGGGAACGGCUUACCAAGGCAACGAUGCGUAGCCGACCUGAGAGGGGGAUCGGCCACACUGGAACUGAGACACGGUCCAGACUCCGACGGGAGGCAGCAGUAGGGAAUCUUCCGAGAUGGGCGAAAGCCUGACGGAGCAACGCCGCGUAGGUGAUGAAGGUCUUCGGAUCGUAAAACUCUGUUAUUAGGGAAGAACAAAUGUUUAAGUAACUAUGCACGUCUUGACGGUACCUAAUCAGAAAGCCACGGCUAACUACGUG
RNAcentral lists this ribosomal RNA (497 nucleotides) under uncultured bacterium. RNAcentral's name for it is "partial 16S ribosomal RNA". It matches the Rfam family "Bacterial small subunit ribosomal RNA", at positions 28 to 507 of the family's 1533-position model. The record is from RNAcentral.